GACGAACGCUGGCGGCGUGCUUAACACAUGCAAGUCGAACGCUGAAGCUCAGCGUUUGUUGGGUGGAGGAGUGGCGAACGGGUGAGUAACACGUGAGUAACCUGCCCCCUUCUUUGGGAUAACGCCCGGAAACGGGUGCUAAUACUGGAUAUUCACUGGUCUUCGCGUGGGGGUUGGUGGACAUGGUAUUUCUGGUGGGGGAUGGGCUCGCGGCCUAUCAGCUUGUUGGUGGGGUGAUGGCCUACCAAGGCUUUGGCGGGUAGACGGGCUGAGAGGGUGCACGGGAACAUUGGGACUGAGAAAAGGCCUAGACUACGCCGGGGGGCAGAAGUGGGGAAAAAGGGCGCAUGGGUGAACGACUGAUGCCGCGACGCCGAGGGAGGGAUGGAGGCCUUAGGGUUGUGAACCUCUUUAGCUAAUGGUGCAGCCGAAACCAUGGUUGUGGUGACGGUAGUGGGUAAAGAAGCGCCGGCUAACUACGUG
This 483-nucleotide ribosomal RNA is filed under the name uncultured bacterium. Its description in RNAcentral is "partial 16S ribosomal RNA". It matches the Rfam family "Bacterial small subunit ribosomal RNA", at positions 28 to 507 of the family's 1533-position model. The record is from RNAcentral.